CGGUAGACGCUACGGACUUAAAUUUUGAGCCUUAGUAGAGAAAUCUAUUAAGUGACUGUUUUCACAUUCAGGGAAACCUAAGGUUUGAGGUAUGAGGUAAUCCUGAGCCAAAUUUUAGUGAUAAAAUAGGUGCAGAGACUCAAAGGAAACUAUCCUAACGAAAAAUUUUUUUCUUUAUUUGUUUUAUUACGAGUAUUGAUUCAGUGCACAAUAAAUAUAUUCG
This 223-nucleotide non-coding RNA is filed under the name Lopholejeunea subfusca. RNAcentral's name for it is "partial tRNA-Leu". The stretch from base 10 to 204 matches the Rfam family "Group I catalytic intron". From Rfam's summary of the family: Group I catalytic introns are large self-splicing ribozymes. They catalyse their own excision from mRNA, tRNA and rRNA precursors in a wide range of organisms. Lineage: Eukaryota; Viridiplantae; Streptophyta; Jungermanniopsida; Porellales; Lejeuneaceae. The record is from RNAcentral.